Long non-coding RNA from Taeniopygia guttata (zebra finch), 2368 nucleotides. Lineage: Eukaryota; Metazoa; Chordata; Aves; Passeriformes; Estrildidae. The record is from Ensembl.
UUUUCCCUCAAUAACUCAAUUUCCCCCAUUUUCCCCUCAUGGAUUCAAUUUUCCCCUCACAGGCUCCCUUUUACCCCAUUUUUCCCCCACAGACUCCAUUUCCCCAAUUUUCCUCUCAAAGGCUCCAUUUUCCCCUCCCAGGAUCCAUUUGCCCUCAUUUUCCCCUCAAGGGCUCAAUUUCCCCCCAUUUUCCCCUCAGAGCCUCCAUUUCCCUCCAUUUUCCCCUCAUGGGCUCCAUUUUCUCCCAUUUUCCCCUCACAAACACCAUUUCCCCCCCAUUUUCCCCUCAUGGAUUCAAUUUCCCCCCAUUUUCCUCUCAAGGGCUCCAUUUUCCUCUCAAGGGCUCUUUUUACCCUCCCAUUUUUACCUCAUGGCCUCAGUUUCCCCCCAUUUUCCCCUCAAAGGCUCCAUUUCCAUCCAUUUUCUCCUCAUGGGCUCCAUUUUUCCCUCAAGAGCUCACUUUCCCCCAUUUUCCUCUCACAAACACCAUUUUCCCCUCACGGAUUCCAUUUUCCAUCAUUUUCCCCCAAAGGCUCAAUUUCCCUCCAUUUUGCCCUCAUGGACUCAGUUUUCCCCCAUUUUCCCCUCAAAGGCUCCAUUUUCCCUCCAUUUUCUCCUCAAGGGCUCAAUUUCCCCCCCAUUUUCCCCUUAAGAGCUCAAUUUCCUCCUAUUUUCCCCUCAAGUGCUCCAUUUCCCCCAAUUUUCCCCCCGCAAACACCAUUUCCCCCUCACGGGCUCCAUUUUCCACCCAUUUUUUCCUCAAGGGCUCCAUUUCCCCCUCACGGGCUCCAUUUUCCACCAGUUUCCCCUCACGGGCUCCAUUUCCCUCAUUUUCCCCUCAAAGGCUCAAUUUCCCUCCAUUAUUCUCCUCACUGGCUCAUUUCUUCCCAUUUUUCCCUCUCAGGCUCCAUUUUCCCCUCAAGGCCUCUUUUUUCCUCCAUUUUUACCUCACCAGCUCAAUUUCUCUCCAUUUUUACUCAAAUGCUCAAUUUCUCCCCAAUUUCCAUUCGUGGGCUCAAUUUUCCACCAUGUUCUCCUCACGGGCUCCAUUUUCUCCCAUUUUCCCCUCACAAACACCAUUUCCCCCCAUUUUCCCCUCAUGGACUCCAUUUCCCCCUUUCCCUUCAUUUUUCCCUCACAGGCUCCAUUUCACCCAUUUUCCCUUCAAGGGCUCAAUUUUCCACCAUUUUCCCUUCAAAGGCUCAAUUUCUCCCCAUUUUCCCCUCAGGAGGACAUUUUCCCCCAUUUUCCCCUCACAGGCUCCAUUUUCCCCCAUUUUCCCCUCAGAGGCUCCAUUUCCUCCCACUUUCCCCUCAGGAGCUCCAUUUUCCCACCAUUUUCUCCUCAUGGAUUCCAUUCCCCCCCAUUUUCCCCUCACAGGCUCCAUUUCUCCUCAUUUUCCCCUCAAAGGCUCCAUUUCCAUCCAUUUUCUCCUCAAGGGCUCCAUUUUUCCCUCAAGCGCUCACUUUCCCCCAUUUUCCUCUCACAAACACCAUUUUCCCCUCAUGGAUUCCAUUUUCCGUCAUUUUCCCCCCAAAGGCUCAAUUUCCCCCCAUUUUGCCCUCAUAGGCUCCAUUUUCCCUCCAUUUCCCCCUCAAGGGCUCAAUUUCCCCCCAUUUUUCCCUUAAGAGCUCAAUUUCCUCCUAUUUUCCCCUCAAGUGCUCCAUUUCCCCCAAUUUUCCCCCUGCAAACACCAUUUCCCCCUCACGGCUCCAUUUUCCACCCAUUUUUUCCUCAAGGGCUCCAUUUCCCCCUCACGGGCUCCAUUUUCCACCAGUUUCCCCUCACGGGCUCCAUUUCCCUCAUUUUCCCCUCAAAGGCUCAAUUUCCCUCCAUUUUUCCCUCAUGGGCUCAGUUUUCCCCCAUUUUCCCCUCAAAGACUACUUUUUCUUAUCAUGGGUUCCAUUUUCUUCCAUUUUCCCCUCCAUUUUCUCCUCAAGGACUCAAUUUCCCCCCCCAUUUUCCCCUCAAGGGUUCAAUUUCCCCCUCAAAGGCUCCAUUUUCCCCCAUUUUCUCUUCACAAACACCAUUUCUCCCCAUUUUCCCCUCACGGGCUCAUUUCUUCCCAUUUUCCCCUCUCAGGCUCCAUUUUCCCCUCAAGGCCUCUUUUUUCCUCCAUUUUUACCUCACCAGCUCAAUUUCUCUCCAUUUUUACCUCAAAUGCUCAAUUUCUCCCCAAUUUCACUUCGUGGGCUCAAUUUUCCACCAUUUUCUCCUCAAAGGCUCAAUUUCCCCCCAGUUUCUCCUCACAGGCUCCAUUUUCUCGCAUUUUCAACUCAAAAACACCAUUUCCCCCCCGUGGAUUCCAUUUUCCCAGCAAAAAUAUAGAUUUUACAACUGAAAGUAUGGGUUUUGCCCUCAAAAUUCC